RNAcentral lists this long non-coding RNA (355 nucleotides) under Nicotiana benthamiana. RNAcentral's name for it is "long non-coding RNA (NBEN_LNC041327)". The record is from RNAcentral. Lineage: Eukaryota; Viridiplantae; Streptophyta; Magnoliopsida; Solanales; Solanaceae.
GGAACUUCCUGAUGCGGCCAACCUCGCAACAAGACCUUCCAAGAUGUAUGCUCCCAGUCUCUGAAUCGGUUCCCCCGACACUGAUACCAUUUGACGCAACUCAGAUAUUAACACUUGUGCUGUUAGUAAAUCACCAUCAGACACUGCUUUUGCACAAGCGAUAAGGACAUGUUUCAAAUCCCGCCUAGGCAUGGCCUCCAUCAUUUGCUUCCAGCUGAAUCACUGUCAUACACUGCUUUUGCACAAGCGAUAAGGACAUGUUUCAAAUCCCGUCUAGGCAUGGCCUCCAUCAUUUGCCUCCAGCUAUUAAUUUCUGUGGAGGCUAUACUGUUCGGCAAGGAAUUAUCAUAACUCU